CGAGACGUGGCCCAGUUGGAAGGGUGCUCGCUUUGGAAGCGAGGGAUCGUGGGUUCGAGUCCCACCGUCUCGA
This 73-nucleotide transfer RNA is filed under the name Pseudenhygromyxa salsuginis. Its description in RNAcentral is "tRNA-Pro". It matches the Rfam family "tRNA". From Rfam's summary of the family: Transfer RNA (tRNA) molecules are approximately 80 nucleotides in length. The record is from RNAcentral. RNAcentral also lists the same sequence under 1 other name. Lineage: Bacteria; Pseudomonadati; Myxococcota; Nannocystales; Nannocystaceae.